RNAcentral lists this ribosomal RNA (406 nucleotides) under uncultured bacterium. RNAcentral describes it as "partial 16S ribosomal RNA". It matches the Rfam family "Bacterial small subunit ribosomal RNA", at positions 30 to 526 of the family's 1533-position model. The record is from RNAcentral.
AUUGAACGCUGGCGGCAGGCCUAACACAUGCAAGUCGAACGAGAGGCGGACGGGUGAGUAAUGUCUGGGAAACUGCCUGCUGGAGGGGGAUAACUCCUGGAAACGGUAGCUAGUACCGCAUACCAUCGGCUGUGCCCAGCUGGGAUUAGCUUGUAGGUGUGGUAACGGCGUCCCUAGGCGACGAUCCCUAGCUGGUGUGAGAGGUUGACCAUCCACACUGGAACGUAGACACGUUCCAUACUCCUCCGGGAGGCAGCAGUGGGGAAUAUUGUACAAUGGGCGCACGCCUGAUGCGGCAAUGCCGCGUGUAUGAAGAAGGCCUUCGGGUUGUAAAGCACUUUCAGCGGGGAGGCGUUACCCGCAGAAGAGGGACCGGCUAAGUCCGUGCCAGCAGCAGCGGUAAUAC